RNAcentral lists this long non-coding RNA (4329 nucleotides) under Homo sapiens (human). Its description in RNAcentral is "HSALNT0244388". Lineage: Eukaryota; Metazoa; Chordata; Mammalia; Primates; Hominidae. The record is from RNAcentral.
GCUGCCGCCUUGCAGUUUGAUCUCAGACUGCUGUGCUAGCAAUCAGCGAGACUCCGUGGGCGUAGGACCCUCUGAGCCAGUCACCAAUGCUGCUCAUUGCAAUGUAUGGAGUGAAAGAGGCUGCCAUCGGUAUCCAGAAGAAGGUGUUACUUCGGUACCCAUACUCAUAAUCCAUAUGCUCCUGAAAUCAUGUGGAACAUGCAACUAGGACCUUCUGAACACGUAGCCUGAUUUACUUAUGAAGAAGCAAAUUCAACCAAGUGAUACGAAUUGUCUAAGGUCAUACAGUUAAUAACUUGUAAGAGCCCAGCACAGCACAGAUUUACAAAAUGAUACACAAAGACCUCAGAGAGCCUCAAGACUGUAACAUGGAAAUUGUGCCUAAGUUUCCAGUCUUCCAACUACAACAUUAACUCUAACCCAAGUUUCCAGUCUUCCAACUACAGCAUUAACUCUAACCCAAGUUUCCAGCCUGGUGUUCUGCCUUGUGGAUUUCAGAUUUGCCAAGCCCCACAAUUACAUAAUGAAAUUCCUUAAAGAAGCGAACUUUUGCUAUUGCACAGACCUGCUGCCUCCAGAGCGCCACGCCACUGAUUGUUUUCCUUGUUUCGUGGAAGGAAGACAAAACUUGUUCCAGCUCAACAAGGCUUCCUAUAUCUUUUGCCCCAUCAGUUUGUAAUUGUCCCCAAAUUCCAAUAUCUAAAACAUAAGAUCAAUAUUUUAUAAAGUGCCAUUUUAGUUAUGCAUUAUUUAGCUUUUCCUAUGAUAAAUUUUCCUACAAAGGUGUCAAAGUUACCCUCUUGGGCCAAGAUACAAGUAAUCUAAUGUAUGACAUUAUUAGAGCAACUAUUGAAGAAAUGGGAAAGAAGCAGAAAGUAUUGAUAUAAUAAAAGAAAAUCUUGUGUUUUCUGAUUUUAAACGUCCUCUGUCUGCAGCUUUAUAGGACUUUAUUUAUUCUAAGGAAAUCAAUGAAAAAAAACUCAUUAAGAAAUCUAUUUGUUGUAAAAGAUAAACCACUUAGUAUUUCUGACCAAGGUAGGAGAGUUAGUAUAUACAGAAACCCCUCCUCUACCCUUCAAGAACAUAAAAAUGGGAGAAACGAUAUUUUUAAAAUAUAACCAUGGUUAAAAGCAAGAUAAAAGUUACCUGUUUUGAGGUGAAGCCUAGAGAAAAUGACUAACUCUGGCUACUAGAAAGCUAUAAAAUAUGUACAUACAUUAAAAUUUAGUAUAACACUAAAAAAGUAACAAGUAUAUAACUUCAAAAAUGAAUAAGAGAGGAAAAGGAGGAUUAAAGAAAAAUGCUUGAUCAAUCCAAAAAGACCCCCAGAAAAUUGCAAAAAUGAAAAUAAAGAGCACAGUAAAGAGUAAACACCAUAAGAUGAUAGUGAACCAGUAAAAAAAAUUAUCUUAGCAGCAAUAAGAGAGAAAAGACAGAAUGCUUCCCAAGGAAUAAAGAUGAGACAGAGAGCAAACUUUCCAAAAGCAACAACUAAAUCCCAGAUACAUUGGAAUAAUAUCACUGAAAUGCUACCAGAAAAGUAGCAUUUCUGUGAACUCUAAUUUUCUUUUCUCUAUAGCAUGUAUAUUCAGGUAAUAUCAUACCAUAUAUUUAUUGUUUGCUGCAUAAGGAACUAGUGUUGUACAUUGCUAUAUUCCACAGAGAUAUAUUUCUUCUCUAAGUUUUCCCAAGACAAGCCUGAAUCAUAGCACCAACAAAAGUAUAUAAUCUCAUCAUUUGGGCAUAUUUUCAAGAUAAAAUACUGCACACAAAGAUAAAAUCUUUCUUUCGUCCUUCCUUCCUUCCUUCCUUUCUUUCUUUCUCCCUUUCUUUCUCUUUCUUAUUUUUUCUUACCUGAUUCAUCAAUAGUUGAUUUUCCUUCUAAUUUCAGAAACACCUCAUUCAAAGUUGUUAUGGAAACACCAUAAUCCUCAAUGCCUUGGUUAGAACAUCUAUCAAGAUCCCUGUAAAGUUCUAAAAGUGGAUACAAAAACAGAUUAUAAGAAUAUAAUUUAUAAUGAGAACCAUAUUUCUCAAAAAUGUAAAAUAUUGGUAAUAGGCCAAAUGUACUAAUCAGAAACAAAAUUGUGAUACAGAUGAUCUCAUUUCUAAAAUGAUCCAUAUAGUAUGUUACUUUUCAUGUCUUUUUGAGAUCAAAGUCUAAUCUAAACAUUUAUUUUUUCACUCUUAGGAAACUACCUAUGUGUUUUUUGAAAAACAUAUUUUAAUAUAUUUUUUAAAAUUUAUUUUUGUUAUAUUACAGGGAGUGUUUAAUUCUCAAUUUCAACUAAUUAAAAAAAUAUUUUCCAGAGAAUAGAGAUUUGUGCUUUCUUGUUGAGAUUAAUUAUUAGAGAAUUAUAAUAACAAAUGUAAAAGAACUAAUGUUUAUAGAAAUAAUUAAGUAUAGACUCUUUGAUAGUUUAAAAACAUGUAAAAUUUCUAUUUUUUUUUUUUUGAGACAGAGUCUUGCUUUGUUGUCCAGGCUGGAAUGCAGUGGCUCAAUUUUGGUUCACUGCAACCUGCACCUCCCAGAUUCAAGUGAUCCUCCUGCUUCAGCCUCCCGAGUAGCUGGGAUUACAGGUGCACAACACCACGCCUGGCUAAUUUUGUGUGUGUGUGUGUGUGUGUGUGUAUGUGUGUGUGUGUGUGUGCGCGCGUUUAGUAGAGAUGGAGUUUCACCAUGUUGGCCAAGCUUGUCUUGAACUCCUGACCUCAAGUGAUCCGCCUGCCUCAGCCUCCCAAAGGGCUGGGAUUACAGGCAUGGGCCACCGCGCCCAGCCCAUAAAUAUGUAAAGUUUUUAAAAGGACAAAAUAUGUAUGUAACUUUGCACCUCCUCUCUCUGUCUCUCUCUCCCUCUCUCUUUCAACUUCUGACCAUGGUGUGAAAAUUCAGGAAAACUGAAAGGUGGAUAAAAGAUAAACUAAUUCAAUAUUGGGAUAAAUUAAAGACUUCAAUCUUAAUUAUGUGUUGGACAAAGAAAAAUAGAGAUGUAGUCAAAAUUUCUAAUGAGUCCUUAAACUUACCUAAGGGUUAAUUGUUUUUCAGUCUUUCUCCAAAUUUCUCAUCCACUUUGGAAUGCAUUUAAUAAGCAAUCAGCUAAAACUUUGCUGUGUGAUCUUCACAAAGAUUUCUGUUUUUAUAAGGAUACAUAUCUCAAAGAUAUUGUGUAUGCACUGUGAACCAUUAUUUCACUUAUUCUAAGAGAUAUAUUUCAUCAUCUUUUAAUAUAUCUGAAAUAAUAAUGGAUCUUAAAUGAUAGUAGAUCAUAUUUUAAAUGGUAGCAUUAUUUCUUUGUGUUUCUUUCUUAGUGGUACAUCCUGUAGUUGAGGGCUUCUUACACCUGAUGAAAUACCAUAGGUUCUGCAUGUCAGGUAUUGUUCCAGUGCUUUAUUUAUAUUUAAUAUUUCAAUACAUUUGAAGGUAUUAAAUCAUUUAAUCCUCAUAACAACCCUAGAGUACUAUUUUAAUUUUCUUUUCACAAGUGAGGAAACUGAGAUACAGAAUAGUACUAUAACCUGUUAAGGAUUAUAGAGCUAAUAAUAGCAUAGCUGGUGUUUGAAUCUAGACUGGCUCUAGCAUUGAGUUUCAAUCUCUGCACUUUAUUGUCUGGUUCUGUGUUUCUUUAUGGACCAAGGUUAUGUCAUGCUUAUUGAUUCAAGCAUGCAGCAAUGGCCCCGGUAUAAUUUCUUGAACUUGAUAUGGCAAACACAUUUUUACAGAGUAAACUUAAGAAGCAUUCUACCUCAAAACGCUUAGGAAGUGAAACAGUGCAUUGGGAGAUACCAUAGAAAAGUAAUAACACCAGUAGUUCUCCAAGCUUCUGUGUUUGCAGCAAAGUUGUACAUUGAAGUGUUUGGCAGAAUGCACGCCAAUCCAAGUUAUGUUCAAUAACUUGGAUUAUAUCAGUAUGUGCUGGUGUUUCUAAAACAACCUAUUUAUUGUGUACAAUUCUUUCAGCUCUUCUUCGAUAGUCUGCCACUGUAUUUAUAUACCUGUUCCUGCCCUGACCACACUCUCUCAUUCAUUACUGAAACAAAUUUUCCAAAUAAUUCUUAUUUUAUCUUGCUGCUAGCCUACGCCUCUUAAUUGCACUUAAUUGACUUGAAGCAUAUUUAACAUCUACAUGCCUUGGUUUACUCAUAAGUAGCAUAUGGAUAAUACUAAGGGGUAAUAUUAUAAGUGACCUUGGAGUUGGGAAUAUUAAAUGAGUAAACGCAUUGUGCCAUUCAUCUAGCAAGCAUUAAAACUAGCCAUCAUUCUUAUCACCACUGUUAUUGUUAAUAACACCAUUCCAAAACCAUUCUGUCAUCUUUACAUUUUGUUACCUG